RNAcentral lists this ribosomal RNA (254 nucleotides) under uncultured bacterium. RNAcentral describes it as "partial 16S ribosomal RNA". It matches the Rfam family "Bacterial small subunit ribosomal RNA", at positions 524 to 776 of the family's 1533-position model. The record is from RNAcentral.
UACGUAGGGGACGAGCGUUGUCCGGAUUCAUUGGGCGUAAAGAGCUCGUAGGCGGUUCGCUAAGUCAGGUGUGAAAUCUCCACGCUCAACGUGGAGGGGCCACCUGAUACUGGCGUGACUCGAGUCCGGUAGGGGAGUGUGGAAUUCCCGGUGUAGCGGUGAAAUGCGCAGAUAUCGGGAGGAACACCAGUGGCGAAGGCGGCACUCUGGGCCGGAACUGACGCUGAGGAGCGAAAGCGUGGGUAGCAAACAGG